Molecule: ribosomal RNA, 484 nt
Filed under: Treponema medium
Lineage: Bacteria; Pseudomonadati; Spirochaetota; Spirochaetia; Treponematales; Treponemataceae
Description: bacterial SSU rRNA
Rfam family: Bacterial small subunit ribosomal RNA
Source: RNAcentral
AACGAACGCUGGCGGCGCGUCUUAAGCAUGCAAGUCGAACGGCAAGAGAGAAGCUUGCUUCUCUCCUAGAGUGGCGGACUGGUGAGGAACACGUGGGUAAUCUACCCUUAAGAUGGGGAUAGCUGCUAGAAAUAGCAGGUAAUACCGAAUACACUCAGUGCUUCAUAAGGGGUGUUGAGGAAAGGAAGCUACGGCUUCGCUUGAGGAUGAGCUUGCGUCCCAUUAGCUAGUUGGUGAGGUAACGGCCCACCAAGGCGACGAUGGGUAUCCGGCCUGAGAGGGUGAACGGACACAUUGGGACUGAGAUACGGCCCAAACUCCUACGGGAGGCAGCAGCUAAGAAUAUUCCGCAAUGGACGGAAGUCUGACGGAGCGACGCCGCGUGGAUGAAGAAGGCUGAAAAGUUGUAAAAUCCUUUUGUUGAUGAAGAAUAAGGGUGAGAGGGAAUGCUCAUCUGAUGACGGUAAUCGACGAAUAAGCCCCG